Molecule: long non-coding RNA, 1410 nt
Organism: Neopsephotus bourkii (Bourke's parrot)
Lineage: Eukaryota; Metazoa; Chordata; Aves; Psittaciformes; Psittacidae
Exons: 2
Source: RefSeq, a predicted model, not a curated record
UUCUUUCAUUUUUUUUUUAAUGAAAGGACACAAAACUUCUUUGUUAGAAGUUUGUUACUUGUCUGAUUCAAUUUGCUGAAAGAUAAAUCCCUCUGUGUUACUGCAUCAGUGUGUUACCGUCCAAGAGAAAAGCUCCCUUGUCUUGGAACAACCAACUUAACUAUUGUGUCAAACUCCAUCACUUGCCAACCUGUCCUUAAAGGCUGUUGCUAAUACAGUAUUGGGCAGAAAUUUUCUCUUUGAGUUGAUCCUGUGAUAUCUCCACUUUUUCACCUGAAAAAAAAAAGAAUCAUAUUCUACGUCCUUCAGAAUUUGUCUGUUCAUUUUGACACUGCAAUGUUGGUCUUUUCUUCUUCAUGGCUCAAGCAUUUAUCAUCUUAUGCUUCUGUUAUCAACCAAACAAGACUGAAAGUGUGAGAUGCCAUCCCCUGGAAGAACUGCUUAGUGAAUGUGGGAUGGUGUGACCCUCAUGUUCUGCCUGAUAAGUGAAAAAAACAGUGGAAAUGAUUCUUCUCACACCUAAAGUGCUUUGUUUACCUUGGUGUAUGCUGGAAAACUUGAAACUCUGCUUCUGAGAGACAGUGCCUUCUGAGCUUUGUGAAUUGAGUGUGUGUUUGGCAAGAAUGGAAUAAGAAUCUCUUCAUUUCAGGAUAGGAGGGGGAAAUAAGCAUUUGAAACAUGAGACUUUCGAACUGCCAUGGUACUGGAAUGUUAUACUGCUGAAUGUCAUGUAUGUAUGUACAAGCACAUGCUUGUAUUCUGGUCUCAUUGGGUAUUCUGGUCAAGAUGGGAGUGUCAAGGGCGGAUCAGUUCUGGUCAUGAAGUGCCACGUUGACGUAGCUGUUGCACACAGCUUUUAAGUCUGGUGUGUAUUCUGUGACAGCCUGUUGUAAGGUAAAGAGCCUGAAAGUACAUCUAAAGUUACUGAGAUCCACCUGAGCAAGGCCUGUUUCAGUUACCAGUGAUAAAAGAACGUGGUAGGACAGAAGCUGUAUGGUUUGCUCACAGACCUCUCCUGUAAGAAGAUGCCUAUAUCAAAUGUGAAGACUAGACCUUAGAAGUACGGUAUUUGUACUCUGAGAUCUAGGGUAUAAUGCUAACUUUAUGCUUCCACAUUGACAGCUCACACUACACAGGCCAGCCAACAGAGUUCCAGCAACUUUGGGCCUCCUGAAUUAUUUUUGCUGACUGGAAUAAACUGAAUGAAAAACUGCUACUUGUUAUCCCUACCUCUAGGGAUAGGAAAGUUAUUUUACUGAGCCAAAACACUGAUUUAAAAAAAAAAUACUUGUUCCUUUUGAUAUAUUUAUACAAAUGAUGUUAAAGUUUUCCUGUGUUAUGUAAAGGCAAUUUAAAGAAAGGUAAUUUUUUUAAUUCAAUAAAAGCACUACAUAUUUCUUUCCUACAGCA